CCCUGCCAUUUGUACACACCGCCCGUCGCACCUACCGAUUGAAUGGUCCGGUGAAAUCUUUGGACUGCGACUUUGUUUUGUUUAUUCAAGACGUUGACGCGGAAAAUUGAUUAAACCUUACCAUUUAG
RNAcentral lists this ribosomal RNA (128 nucleotides) under uncultured eukaryote. RNAcentral's name for it is "partial small subunit ribosomal RNA". It matches the Rfam family "Eukaryotic small subunit ribosomal RNA", at positions 1651 to 1776 of the family's 1831-position model. The record is from RNAcentral.